This 668-nucleotide ribosomal RNA is filed under the name Escherichia coli. RNAcentral's name for it is "partial 23S ribosomal RNA". It matches the Rfam family "Bacterial large subunit ribosomal RNA", at positions 2254 to 2916 of the family's 2925-position model. Lineage: Bacteria; Pseudomonadati; Pseudomonadota; Gammaproteobacteria; Enterobacterales; Enterobacteriaceae. RNAcentral also lists the same sequence under 1 other name. The record is from RNAcentral.
GUGUCUGGUGGGUAGUUUGACUGGGGCGGUCUCCUCCUAAAGAGUAACGGAGGAGCACGAAGGUUGGCUAAUCCUGGUCGGACAUCAGGAGGUUAGUGCAAUGGCAUAAGCCAGCUUGACUGCGAGCGUGACGGCGCGAGCAGGUGCGAAAGCAGGUCAUAGUGAUCCGGUGGUUCUGAAUGGAAGGGCCAUCGCUCAACGGAUAAAAGGUACUCCGGGGAUAACAGGCUGAUACCGCCCAAGAGUUCAUAUCGACGGCGGUGUUUGGCACCUCGAUGUCGGCUCAUCACAUCCUGGGGCUGAAGUAGGUCCCAAGGGUAUGGCUGUUCGCCAUUUAAAGUGGUACGCGAGCUGGGUUUAGAACGUCGUGAGACAGUUCGGUCCCUAUCUGCCGUGGGCGCUGGAGAACUGAGGGGGGCUGCUCCUAGUACGAGAGGACCGGAGUGGACGCAUCACUGGUGUUCGGGUUGUCAUGCCAAUGGCACUGCCCGGUAGCUAAAUGCGGAAGAGAUAAGUGCUGAAAGCAUCUAAGCACGAAACUUGCCCCGAGAUGAGUUCUCCCUGACCCUUUAAGGGUCCUGAAGGAACGUUGAAGACGACGACGUUGAUAGGCCGGGUGUGUAAGCGCAGCGAUGCGUUGAGCUAACCGGUACUAAUGAACCGUGAGG